AUUGAACGCUGGCGGCAGGCCUAACACAUGCAAGUCGAGCGGCAGCGGAAAGUAGCUUGCUACUUUGCCGGCGAGCGGCGGACGGGUAAGUAAUGUCUGGGAAACUGCCUGAUGGAGGGGGAUAACUACUGGAAACGGUAGCUAAUACCGCAUAACGUCGCAAGACCAAAGAGGGGGACCUUCGGGCCUCUUGCCAUCAGAUGUGCCCAGAUGGGAUUAGCUGGUAGGUGGGGUAACGGCUCACCUAGGCGACGAUCCCUAGCUGGUCUGAGAGGAUGACCAGCCACACUGGAACUGAGACACGGUCCAGACUCCUACGGGAGGCAGCAGUGGGGAAUAUUGCACAAUGGGCGCAAGCCUGAUGCAGCCAUGCCGCGUGUAUGAAGAAGGCCUUAGGGUUGUAAAGUACUUUCAGCGGGGAGGAAGGUGUUGAGGUUAAUAACCUCAGCAAUUGACGUUACCCGCAGAAGAAGCACCGGCUAACUCCGUGCCAGCCGCCGCAGUAA
RNAcentral lists this ribosomal RNA (506 nucleotides) under uncultured bacterium. RNAcentral describes it as "partial 16S ribosomal RNA". It matches the Rfam family "Bacterial small subunit ribosomal RNA", at positions 30 to 523 of the family's 1533-position model. The record is from RNAcentral.